Dipodomys ordii (Ord's kangaroo rat) is the source of this 71-nucleotide non-coding RNA. Lineage: Eukaryota; Metazoa; Chordata; Mammalia; Rodentia; Heteromyidae. The record is from Rfam.
GGGAAGGUGGCUCAGUGUUAGAGCGCUUGCCUUGCAUGCAUGAGGCCCUUGCAUGCAUGAGUUCCAUUCCU